GUCUCUAGGCCAGUGGUUCCCAAACUUCCUAAUGCUGCAACCCUUUAAUACAGUUCCUCCUGUUGUGGUGACCCCCAAAUGCAAAAUUAUUUUGUUGCUAUGUUAUAACAGUGAUGAGGAAUCAAGAUAAGGAACCUUGAGAAGACAGCUCUCUUCUCAAACCCUUCUGGGAUCUAAAGAAUGAGGAAUUAUGACCUCUGUUUGUUUUUGAUUUUGUUUUUGUUUUGUUUUAUCUUCUAAGGUUUGGGGAAUUUCCCAAGAGGGAAAGUAAUUCACAUUUUGGAAGGAAAUUGACAGCAGGGUUUUUGCCCAGUGAAAAUGUGGAGUGUGUAAGGGGAGACCGACUGUCUUUGAGGUAGGAUGUGGGACAGUUGCUGGAGGAGCAGUUCCAGGUAGCUCUAGUGUGAGCAUAGCAGUACUGAUCCGCCAUGAAGGGUCAAGAUGGCAUGAUAAACUUCGGACAGAGCCAGGACGGAAAUGCAGCAUCCUUCGAGUUCCAGGAUGCCGUCUUCCCCACUGCCUAGCCUGUAGAUACUGGGCUGUCAGGCUGGCUCUGCCUUUGAGGGCUCAACAUCCCUACUGCUGAUGGUUUCCUUAUGUAUGGCCCAGGCCUGGCAAAUGCAGUUACUGGUGACAUUGUGACCAGGGCUGAACUUAUUUACAGUAACUACCCCCACUUCUCCAGUAAGGCACUCCUGGGUAAUUGAGUGGACCAGGCAAGAAUUAGAUCUGGGCCCAUGAUCUAUACAGCCUGCCCGGAGCUUAAUCUUCGUCAAUUAUCUCUAGCUAUCAUGCUCCUCUUGCAAGAGGCAUCCCGUGAGGCCUUCAGAAGGCCAACCCAAGGGGCAGCUUCAGAUCCAUUCAGAAGAGGACCAAGGAGCAGCGCUGCCUGUCGCCCCAAAGCAAGAACCACCUUGUGUGGUCUCAGACGUUAUUUACAUGAGUUCAGCAUGCCCUUCACCCUCAGCUAGAUCUUCCAGCCCUGAUCUACAGAGGAAAGGCCUCUUUUCUCUUCAUCAAUGGAUACAUCUAUGUAGCUGGAUACAUCUACGUAGAUGGAUACAUCAAGGAUCACAGGGACCGUGCCUGGCUCACCUCUCUGUCAGGCACACAUUACCCAGUGCCCAGCAUUGUCAAACUGCAAUCAAGGGACAGACAACAAAGUCUUCCACCUAGGUUCCUUUAGCCCCAUUUCCUAUGUCACUUUGACUCUCUGUAAUUUGGUCGUGUCUGGGAAAAGUGGGAUGUGUUUGUUCUGGAGUGGGCUUGGAAGCAAGGUCUCUGUGCAAAAAGAAAAGAAAACAAAAACAAAAAACCCAAACCUUGUAUCUAAUGAGAAUACUCUUGUACUCCUCGGGAGAGUCUAACCGUUUGAUGAGUGUGUUCAACGCUUUAGCUAUUUGGCAAUAAAAAUAAUUUUUGUUUCUCUUUCGA
Molecule: non-coding RNA, 1434 nt
Organism: Rattus norvegicus (Norway rat)
Lineage: Eukaryota; Metazoa; Chordata; Mammalia; Rodentia; Muridae
Source: RefSeq, a predicted model, not a curated record